Molecule: ribosomal RNA, 504 nt
Filed under: uncultured bacterium
Lineage: Bacteria
Description: bacterial SSU rRNA
Rfam family: Bacterial small subunit ribosomal RNA
Source: RNAcentral
AAUGAACGCUGGCGGCGCGCCUAAUACAUGCAAGUCGGGCGAGAAGACGUAGCAAUACGUUUGUAAAGCGGCGAACGGGUGAGGAAUACAUGGGUAACCUACCCUCGAGUGGGGAAUAACUAGCCGAAAGGUUAGCUAAUACCGCGUACGCUUCUUGGACUUCGGUUCAGGGAGGAAAGCGAUACCGUGGGUAUCGCGCUCUUGGAUGGGCUCAUGUCCUAUCAGCUUGUUGGUGAGGUAACGGCUCACCAAGGCUUCGACGGGUAGCUGGUCUGAGAGGACGAUCAGCCACACUGGCACUGCGACACGGGCCAGACUCCUACGGGAGGCAGCAGUAAGGAAUAUUGCGCAAUGGGCGAAAGCCUGACGCAGCGACGCCGCGUGGGGGAUGAAGGUCUUCGGAUUGUAAACCCCUUUCGGGAGGGAAGAUGGAAUGGGGUAACCCAUUCGGACGGUACCUCCAGAAGCAGCCACGGCUAACUUCGUGCCAGCAGCCGCGGUAAG